GCGCGGGCGACCCGGCCGGGGUGGCGGCGCUGCAGGCGGCGCUGGCGCGGUUCCAGUCGGUGCUGGCGCA
This 70-nucleotide transfer RNA is filed under the name Roseomonas sp. CECT 9278. Its description in RNAcentral is "tRNA-Cys". Lineage: Bacteria; Pseudomonadati; Pseudomonadota; Alphaproteobacteria; Acetobacterales; Roseomonadaceae. The record is from RNAcentral.